AUGUUGGAUUCAGCAGCACACAUACUGAAACUGGAAUGAUACAGAAAAAAUUAGCAUAGCCCCUGCUAAAUGAUGGCAUGCAAAUUCAUGAAGUAUUUCAUAUUUUU
Homo sapiens (human) is the source of this 107-nucleotide small nuclear RNA. The record is from Ensembl. NCBI's taxonomy places the organism in Eukaryota, Metazoa, Chordata, Mammalia, Primates, Hominidae.